RNAcentral lists this ribosomal RNA (427 nucleotides) under uncultured bacterium. Its description in RNAcentral is "bacterial SSU rRNA". It matches the Rfam family "Bacterial small subunit ribosomal RNA", at positions 355 to 775 of the family's 1533-position model. The record is from RNAcentral.
UGGGGAAUCUUGCGCAAUGGGCGAAAGCCUGACGCAGCAACGCCGCGUGAGGGAAGAAGGCCUUCGGGUUGUAAACCUCUGUCAGGGGGAAAGAAGGCACCUGGGUUAAUAGCCUAAGGGUUGACGGUACCCCCAAAGGAAGCCACGGCUAACUACGUGCCAGCAGCCGCGGUAAUACGUAGGUGGCGAGCGUUGUCCGGAAUCAUUGGGCGUAAAGAGCGCGUAGGCGGCUUGUCAGGUCCGAUGUGAAACCCUGGGGCUCAACCCCAGGCGUGCAUCGGAAACCGGCUUGCUAGAGUCUGGGAGAGGGGAGUGGAAUUCCUGGUGUAGCGGUGAAAUGCGUAGAUAUCAGGAGGAACACCGGUUGCGAAGGCGGCUCCCUGGAACAGUACUGACGCUGAGGCGCGAAAGCUAGGGGAGCGAACAG